This 432-nucleotide ribosomal RNA is filed under the name uncultured bacterium. RNAcentral describes it as "partial 16S ribosomal RNA". It matches the Rfam family "Bacterial small subunit ribosomal RNA", at positions 29 to 507 of the family's 1533-position model. The record is from RNAcentral.
AGUGAACGCUGGCGGCAGGCCUAACACAUGCAAGUCGAACGAACGCUUCGGAGUUAGUGGCGGACGGGUGUGUAACACGAGGGAACGGGCAUUUUGGGUCGGAAUAACUCUGGGAAACUUGUGCUAAUACCGAAUGUGCGCUUCGGGGGAAAGAUUUAUCGCCCUUCGAGCGGCCCGCGUCUGAUUCGCUAGUUGGUUCGGUAACGGCUCACCAAGGGGACCAUCAGUAACUGGGCUGGGAGCAUGACCAGCAACACUGGGACAGAGACACGUCCCGGACUCCUCGGGAAGGCAGAAGGGGGGACGCUGGCACACUGGGCGAAAGCCUGAGGCAGCCAGGCCGCGUGACUGUUGAAGGUCUGAGGAUUGUAAAUGUCUUUAACCGUGCACAUCAUGACGGUACCCCGGCAAGAAGCCCCGGCUAACUUCGUG